RNAcentral lists this ribosomal RNA (266 nucleotides) under uncultured archaeon. RNAcentral's name for it is "partial 16S ribosomal RNA". It matches the Rfam family "Archaeal small subunit ribosomal RNA", at positions 716 to 982 of the family's 1478-position model. The record is from RNAcentral.
AGUCACUGACAUUAGAUACCCGCGUAGUCCAGGGUGUAAACGCUGCAGACUUGGUGUUGGGAACCCUUCGGGGGUGCUCAGUGCCGGAGAGAAGUUGUUAAGUCUGCUACUUGGGGAGUACGUCCGCAAGGAUGAAACUUAAAGGAAUUGGCGGGGGAGCACCGCAACGGGAGGAGCGUGCGGUUUAAUUGGAUUCAACACCGUAAAACUCACCAGGGAAGACUGUUACAUGAAAGCCGAGAUGAAGACUCUGCUAGAUUUUUCAG